GACGAACCGUGCGAACGUUGUUCGGAAUCACUGGGCUUAAAGGGCGCGUAGGCGGGCUGUCCAGUCUGGGGUGAAAUCCCGCGGCUCAACCGUGGAACUGCCUUAGAUACUGACGGCCUCGAGGGAGGUAGGGGCAUGCGGAACUGUGAGUGGAGCGGUGAAAUGCGUUGAUAUGCACAGGAACUCCGGUGGCGAAGGCGGCGUGCUGGACCUCUUCUGACGCUGAGGCGCGAAAGCUAGGGGAGCAAACGGG
Molecule: ribosomal RNA, 253 nt
Filed under: uncultured prokaryote
Description: partial 16S ribosomal RNA
Rfam family: Bacterial small subunit ribosomal RNA
Source: RNAcentral